This is a small nucleolar RNA of Mobula hypostoma (lesser devil ray), 81 nucleotides long. RefSeq annotates it as small nucleolar RNA SNORD121A. NCBI's taxonomy places the organism in Eukaryota, Metazoa, Chordata, Chondrichthyes, Myliobatiformes, Myliobatidae. The transcript has a single exon. The record is from RefSeq and is a predicted model, not a curated record.
AACCAAGAAACAAUGAUGUUUAGUUCAAGCACAUAGCUGAACAUACUGAUGUGAAGUACCAUGUUUCUGAGUUUCUUGGUU